UACGUAGGUGGCAAGCGUUAUCCGGAAUUAUUGGGCGUAAAGCGCGCGCAGGCGGUUUCUUAAGUCUGAUGUGAAAGCCCACGGCUCAACCGUGGAGGGUCAUUGGAAACUGGGGAACUUGAGUGCAGAAGAGAAAAGCGGAAUUCCACGUGUAGCGGUGAAAUGCGUAGAGAUGUGGAGGAACACCAGUGGCGAAGGCGGCUUUUUGGUCUGUAACUGACGCUGAGGCGCGAAAGCGUGGGGAGCAAACAGGG
Molecule: ribosomal RNA, 254 nt
Filed under: uncultured bacterium
Lineage: Bacteria
Description: partial 16S ribosomal RNA
Rfam family: Bacterial small subunit ribosomal RNA
Source: RNAcentral